This 1492-nucleotide ribosomal RNA is filed under the name uncultured bacterium. RNAcentral's name for it is "bacterial SSU rRNA". It matches the Rfam family "Bacterial small subunit ribosomal RNA". The record is from RNAcentral.
GACGAACGCUGGCGGCAGGCUUAACACAUGCAAGUCGCACGAGAACGCUUUGGCUUUGCCAAGGCAAGUACAGUGGCGGACGGGUGCGUAUCGCGUAAAUAACCUGCCCUCAGGCGCGGGACAAUCACGGGAAACCGUGGCUAAUACCGCACGUCGUCUGGAUCCCGCAUGGGAACCAGAUGAAAGCCUUCGGGCGCCUUUGGAUGGGUCUGCGUUGGAUUAGCUUGUUGGUGAAGUAACAACUCACCAACGCAACGAUCCAUACCUGGUCUGAGAGGACGAUCACCCACACUGGGACUGAGACACAGCCCACACUCCUACCGGAGGCAUCAGUGGGGAAUCUUGCACAAUGGGGUAACCCCUGAUGCAUCCAUGCCGCGUGGAGGAAGACACCCCUAUGGGGCGUAAACUCCUUUUCUGAACGAAUAGACCCCUGUACUUUCAAGGCGCGACGGUAGUUCAGGAAUAAGCACCGGCUAACUCCCUGCCAUCAGCCACGGUAAUACUAGACGGUGCAAGCGUUGUCCGGAAUCACUGGGUGUAAAGGGUGCGCACGCGGGGCACCCAGUCGGAUGUGAAACCCCAUCGAUCAACUAUGGAGUAGCAUUCGAAACUGUUGCUCUAGAGUCCAGGAGAGGCUGUCGGAAUUCGUGGUGUAGCGGUGAAAUGCGUAGAUAUCAGGAGGAACACCAGAGGCGAAAGAGGACAGCUGGAUGGGUACUGACGGUCAGGCACGAAAGUGUGGGGAGCAAACAGGAUUAGAUACAGUGGUAGUCCACGCCGUAAAGGAUGAAUGCUGGCUGUUGCCUAGUUAGGGGGCAGUGGAUAAGUAAGAGCGUUAAGCAUUCCACCUGGGGAGUACGAUCGCAAGGUUGAAACUAAAAGGAAUUGACGGGGGCCCGCACAGGCGGUGGAGCAUGUGGCUCAAUUCGAUGAAACGCGAAGAACCUUACCUAGGCUCGAACGCUAGAGGACCGCUCGUGAAAGGGAGCUUCCCUUUUGGGGCCUCUAGCGAGGUACUGCAUGGCUGUCGUCAGCUAGUGUGGUGAGAUGUUGGGUUAAGUCCGGCAACGAGCGUAACCCGUGUUGCUAGUUACCAUCGGGUAAUGCUGGGGAGUUUAGCGAAACUGCAUGCGCAAGCAGUGAGGAAGGUGGGGAUGAGUGUCAAGUCAUCAUGGUCCUUACGCGUAGGGAUGCACACGUGAUACAAUGGCCGGUACAAUGAGCAGCCACCUCGUGAGAGGGAGAGAAUGUUUGAAAAACCGGUAGCCAGUUCGGAUGGGAGUCUGGCAACUGUACUCCAUGUAAGCAGGAAUGGCUAGUAAUGAGCGGAAUCAGCUAAGGCAGGGGUGUAAUCGGUUCUCUGGGCCUCGUACGCACCAGCCCGUCUAGCCGUGGAAGAUGAGUGCGCCAGAAAGUCCGUUACUCAAAUCCAGCGAUGCGUUGGAGGAGAAGCGGCACGAGAGUGUGCGUUCAGGUGAACGUGAGUCGU